This 1373-nucleotide ribosomal RNA is filed under the name uncultured bacterium. RNAcentral describes it as "bacterial SSU rRNA". It matches the Rfam family "Bacterial small subunit ribosomal RNA", at positions 28 to 1381 of the family's 1533-position model. The record is from RNAcentral.
GAUGAACGCUGGCGGCGUGCCUAAUACAUGCAAGUCGAGCGAACGGACGAGAAGCUUGCUUCUCUGAUGUUAGCGGCGGACGGGUGAGUAACACGUGGAUAACCUACCUAUAAGACUGGGAUAACUUCGGGAAACCGGAGCUAAUACCGGAUAAUAUUUUGAACCGCAUGGUUCAAAAGUGAAAGACGGUCUUGCUGUCACUUAUAGAUGGAUCCGCGCUGCAUUAGCUAGUUGGUAAGGUAACGGCUUACCAAGGCAACGAUGCAUAGCCGACCUGAGAGGGUGAUCGGCCACACUGGAACUGAGACACGGUCCAGACUCCUACGGGAGGCAGCAGUAGGGAAUCUUCCGCAAUGGGCGAAAGCCUGACGGAGCAACGCCGCGUGAGUGAUGAAGGUCUUCGGAUCGUAAAACUCUGUUAUUAGGGAAGAACAUAUGUGUAAGUAACUGUGCACAUCUUGACGGUACCUAAUCAGAAAGCCACGGCUAACUACGUGCCAGCAGCCGCGGUAAUACGUAGGUGGCAAGCGUUAUCCGGAAUUAUUGGGCGUAAAGCGCGCGUAGGCGGUUUUUUAAGUCUGAUGUGAAAGCCCACGGCUCAACCGUGGAGGGUCAUUGGAAACUGGAAAACUUGAGUGCAGAAGAGGAAAGUGGAAUUCCAUGUGUAGCGGUGAAAUGCGCAGAGAUAUGGAGGAACACCAGUGGCGAAGGCGACUUUCUGGUCUGUAACUGACGCUGAUGUGCGAAAGCGUGGGGAUCAAACAGGAUUAGAUACCCUGGUAGUCCACGCCGUAAACGAUGAGUGCUAAGUGUUAGGGGGUUUCCGCCCCUUAGUGCUGCAGCUAACGCAUUAAGCACUCCGCCUGGGGAGUACGACCGCAAGGUUGAAACUCAAAGGAAUUGACGGGGACCCGCACAAGCGGUGGAGCAUGUGGUUUAAUUCGAAGCAACGCGAAGAACCUUACCAAAUCUUGACAUCCUUUGACAACUCUAGAGAUAGAGCUUUCCCCUUCGGGGGACAAAGUGACAGGUGGUGCAUGGUUGUCGUCAGCUCGUGUCGUGAGAUGUUGGGUUAAGUCCCGCAACGAGCGCAACCCUUAAGCUUAGUUGCCAUCAUUAAGUUGGGCACUCUAAGUUGACUGCCGGUGACAAACCGGAGGAAGGUGGGGAUGACGUCAAAUCAUCAUGCCCCUUAUGAUUUGGGCUACACACGUGCUACAAUGGACAAUACAAAGGGCAGCGAACCCGCGAGGUCAAGCAAAUCCCAUAAAAGUUGUUCUCAGUUCGGAUUGUAGUCUGCCACUCGACUACAUGAAGCUGGAAUCGCUAGUAAUCGUAGAUCAGCAUGCUACAGUGAAUACUUUCCCGGGUCU